AUGUUUCCUCAUAUUCAGCUUGAACCUUUCCAUGGUAACCAAAGAUUCACUCCUAGGUUUAAAUUGUUACCUGGAUGCGUCAUUCCGCCCAGUACAAGCAGUAUCAGAGAAAAAAAAGCAUAUAAUAUGUCUGUAUCUAUAGCUCCAGAUGGGAAGGAAGGCAAAAGCUCUCCUGAAGAGCACACACAGGCAGAUCAGGAGGGUCCAAUACUGUGCCAACGUGCUGAGGUGCAGCAGAUAGCUGUAGAAAACUGAUGCAGAAACACAGCAAAUUGAAUAGCCGCAGCACCAUGGAUUUGCUCAGGUGAGGCACUGUGUGCUGAGCAUUUGCUGCAGUUCAGUUGUCCACACUGCAAAAGCAAAUAGAUCUGAUGAGUUGUGGUACACUGCACAUGCCAGCAUCAGCUGGCAGCAGACCAGGAGUGUCACAGGAGGAUUACAGAAUGGCUUUAGGGUAUUUUUUUCCCCUCAGCUAAGUGCAAAUGAGAGAUGCUGGCAAGUGGGAUAAAAUGUUAACUGCAAAACUUUCCACCCUCUUGGCAGCCAGAAAGAAUUAAUAGAGAAGGUUUUCUAAAUUGGCCAAAGGAUUUUGCUGUGAAAAAGUAAACAAGAGAAGUCAUGUAUCUGAAAUGGAUGCCACCAUCCAUUUCAGAUGGAUGAAAUGGAUGAUUAAAGAGAGCGCUUGGGGUUUCUCCCUUACAUUUACUGAAGAACAGUUCAUGGUGAAGUACAAAAGCAUGAGCAGAAAACUUUGUAUGCUAUCACUUUCACAUAUAUGUAUAUGUUCUUCCUGUACCUCCAUGUAUGAAACACGAGUGGACUUGCUUGAGCAACCUGCCUGAAGGUAGCCUGAAGCACAUCUGAAUCCCAAAGUUAGGAGUUUCAAAGAAAAGGAUUGAUUCCUAUUUGCAAAGAUAGUAGCAGAAUACAUCCUGCCUCCUUUUCUUGAUGUAGAAUCAUAGAAUAUUCUGAGUUGGAAAGGACCCAUAAAGAUUACUGAGUCUAGCUUCUACUGGUAGUGGAUUUAAAGAAUAAAUGUUUACUGCAAUCUUCA
This 1054-nucleotide long non-coding RNA is filed under the name Phasianus colchicus (ring-necked pheasant). RNAcentral's name for it is "lncRNA (ENSPCLG00000019136.1)". The record is from RNAcentral. Lineage: Eukaryota; Metazoa; Chordata; Aves; Galliformes; Phasianidae.